This 1299-nucleotide long non-coding RNA is filed under the name Phascolarctos cinereus (koala). Its description in RNAcentral is "lncRNA (ENSPCIG00000020363.2)". Lineage: Eukaryota; Metazoa; Chordata; Mammalia; Diprotodontia; Phascolarctidae. The record is from RNAcentral.
AGGGGAGAUGUGCGAGCGCAGCGGGAGCGCGGUGGAGGAUCCGUGUCGGGCACGCCCGGGAGGAGGAGGGAGGGCAGCAGCGCGCGGCUCCCGCCGGAGUCACGCGCCGGCAGAAUUUUGUUUUUGCACUGAAUGUAGCCUGGAUUGAUCCUCACGGGCUUCAAGAGCCCAGGGAUACUAUCAAAGGCCGUAUUUGUGUGUUUCUGCAGAGUUUUGCACAGAUUCUGUUCCCAUGCAAACCGAUGAGGGAGAAAUAUUGGAAGAAAGCUGCUCGGAGGUGGGACAUGAAGAUUUGGUAAUGGAAGGGCAUGGCAAGACUCCGCCUCCUGGUGAAGAAAGCCAACAGUGAGUCAUGGUUUAUUUUGUGAAAGCGUCUUGUGACACAUUUUUGAAAUGCGAUUGUUAAGUCUAUGAAAAGCGUGUUUGGGGGGGCUGGAUGUGGGGGGAGUGUUUGUGUUGGUGAGUGCUCACCAGUGGCAGGGAGUGAGUGUGUUUGUAUUUACGGGCCUGCUAACCUGCACAAGGGAGAAAGCUGAGUUUUUCCCAUGGUUGACUAACCAGAAUUGGUAUUGUGUUUUAGCGAGGACUUCAUGGAUCAGAGUGUUCUAACCUGAGCCCAUGAACUUUGGUUUAGAUUACGGGUAGAAAUAGAAAACAGUGUGCCGUUUUCACCAGACAUGCCUGUGUGAAACCAGUCACCUGAGGAGGUGUUGGAAGAGCACUUCCUGAAAUUCUGUUCCGCUUAGUUAUGUGGCAAGGCUAAUCUUUGUCUUAAUAAUAAGACAUUUACAAUGAAAAGGAAUCAGUAUUAGAAGUGGUACCAUUUCUCUUAGAUAGCAUUUAGUGCAAUUCUUGGCAUCCCUUCUGUCUGUGGAACAAUUUGGCUUUAGAAAGAAGAGGGGAGCCCAGGGCGGUCUAUUUUCUAUGACAGGUGAGGUUUUCCCUAGUUAAAAUUGUAAGAAAUUCUACAGCAGAACAAACUGAUACUUUUGUGGAAGAAUAGUUAAGAUUAUUUCCAGAGGCCUGAAGUCACUACCAUAUGUUUCUGUUCAAAUGGAUGCUCUGAACAGUUUUUCUAAUUUGUAGAAUUUGCGGAAAGUCUUUCAAGAGAGGUCCUUCUCAUCUCCAGGUUAGUUUUGUUCUGUAGUGCUCAUCUAUGGGAGGUUAGUUUUACCUUGUUUUCUGACACUCUUUAAGAAAGAAGCACAGUCUGCUUCUACAGAAAAUUCAUUCCAUGGAAUUGGUUCUUUUUCUUGUGAGUAGAAACCUGGAUCUCUUCACAGCUUUAGCUUUCUAAAU